Triticum urartu is the source of this 1507-nucleotide non-coding RNA. NCBI's taxonomy places the organism in Eukaryota, Viridiplantae, Streptophyta, Magnoliopsida, Poales, Poaceae. The record is from RefSeq and is a predicted model, not a curated record.
CGGUCGGACGCGCCGAAAAAAAAACAGAUCGCAGCCCCACCCCUCCCCUCGCCCCGCACCACCAGAACAGAGAGCAGCGCUAGGGUUCGAGCGCCGCCGCCGUUCUCCAGCGCCGCCGCUGCCGUUCUCCAGCGCUGCCGCCGUCGUUCUCCAGCGCCGCCGCCGCCCCCUCCUACACCGCGCCCCUAACCCUCCUCCAAUGGCCGCACCGUCGCCGGAAUCUCCUCCCGUGCCCUAGCGCCGCCGCGCCGGCACCACCGCUGCCAGGCACCACCUCCGCUGCCGCCGCCGCCGCAGGGCACCACCUCCGUCGCUGCUGGACUGCAAAGGAGAGGCAGUUGCACGGCCGCCGGGCACCAUCUCCCCCUCUGCCCCAUCAGCCCCCACGGGAUCAAUCUUUUCACCUCUAGGAGCACUGUUGGUCCUGUUGCCGUCGCCAUCACCGUCCACUACCUCCUCUAUGGAUCAUCUAGGGUGCAAGUAUGGGUGAAAAACCUAUAUUAUAAAAAUCGACGAGCCGCAAUGGAGGAUCCACCACACCAUCAAGGCAACUUGAACCUUAAGGGGUUCGGUGAGCAUUGGGCGUCUCACAAUAAGGCUCCGGAGCCCAACCUUUUUGUGGCGUAUGCUUUGGCCCAUAAGGGAUCGUUCUGAUCUGCCACGCCUUAUGAUGAGAAUGACACAUUACCUGCCUACACCAGCAAGACCGCCUACGAUCGAAUGGACAAAUUUAAAAGGAAGGCAAAAGAGAUGAGAGGGCCUGAGUAUGAUGUGACAUCAGAGCUCCUUGACCACGAGGUGGUUAUGAUAUCUGGAGGUGGUAGGAAACAUGGCAAGGAAGCGAUUGGAGGUGGCAUGUUUCCUAGGUCCUCCCGUCGCACUCUCCCUGAGUACAAAGCUCGGUCAGGUAUCUCAACAUCUUCUAUAUGUCAACGCUCGACUCCAGCAAUGGUUGCGAUGGAGUCUCGACUGGAGGAGCAGAGGCGACUGCUAGAUGAGAAGUUGGAGGAGAGGCGACUGUCGGAUGAGAAGAGGGCGGAGGAGAGGCGACUAGCGGAUGAGAGGAUGCAACUGAACUUUGCAAUGUUUGCGGCUUAUUGUACCCAGAAUGGUAUGCCCGCUAUGCAAAUGCCUGACAUUGCUUUGCCCCCUAUGCAUCAAUCAAGCCAUGGGUCAAAUAAUGAUGGAUCUUCACAUGCACCAGGCCCAAAUGCCAAUGACCAUGGUGGUUCUCCGAACUUUUGAGAUCGAGUAUGGUUGCCACACAGAUGCUCUUUGGACUAUGAUAUGGACAUGAAGACAUUUGUUGUAGUGCCAAAUAUUACGUACUGAUGCCUGCUUUGUUCAUUUGCUAUGGAACACAUUGUACUCUUGCUAUGGAAAACUUUGUACUCUUAUAUUUGCUAUGGACUAGCUCGCUAUGGGCAUUUGGUAUACUCUGUGUGGUAUUUGAUAUGAAUGUGUUAUGGAACAGUGCUAUGAACUGUGUCAUAUUUUCUAUGGAACA